UACGUAGGUGGCAAGCGUUGUCCGGAUUUACUGGGUGUAAAGGGCGAGUAGGCGGGGCCGCAAGUCUGAUGUGAAAACUAUCGGCUUAACUGAUAGACUGCAUUGGAAACUGAGGUUCUUGAGUGAUGGAGAGGCAGGCGGAAUUCCUAGUGUAGCGGUGAAAUGCGUAGAUAUUAGGAGGAACACCAGUGGCGAAGGCGGCCUGCUGGACAUUAACUGACGCUGAGGCGCGAAAGCGUGGGGAGCAAAC
This 250-nucleotide ribosomal RNA is filed under the name uncultured archaeon. RNAcentral describes it as "partial 16S ribosomal RNA". It matches the Rfam family "Bacterial small subunit ribosomal RNA", at positions 524 to 773 of the family's 1533-position model. The record is from RNAcentral.